Long non-coding RNA from Carcharodon carcharias (great white shark), 6912 nucleotides. RefSeq lists it as uncharacterized. Lineage: Eukaryota; Metazoa; Chordata; Chondrichthyes; Lamniformes; Lamnidae. The record is from RefSeq and is a predicted model, not a curated record. The transcript has 3 exons.
ACCAGGGGUGUGUGGAACUGACAGGAAAAUGGAGCUGAGACCACAAUCAGAUCAGCCAUGAUCUUAUCGAAAAGCAGAGCAGGCGCAAAGGGUCAAAUGGCCUACUCCUGCUUGAGGUCCUAUGUUUUUCCUGGCCUCUUCCAAAACCUAAAUGUUCUACAGUCAAACACUGCCCUUAACUACUUCCUCCCCCUUGCUGAGGAAUAAAUUCAUGAGGUUUGAGGAACAGACAUCCCUUAGCUCUUAAACCUGUAACUGGUUUUUGGGAUAAUUGUGCAAAAAUCUGUUUCCUUUCCCCAGACAUGUUGUAUACAUUGAAUUUAGAAUGUCCCAGUGGAGCCCACCAGAUGGUUUAGUAUGUAAAUACAUCACCUAGUGUACUACCAAGCUCUACAUCAAGCAGGGAGAUCCCACGUUUGAUAACUUACCUUGCUAAUCUGUGUGUAUGGGGUUGCAUGCUACACGUGGCCUUUGUGUUGGGCUAUCAAGGAGAAAGUCAGUUAGUUCUCAUUUCUAAUCAUUGUUCAGUAACUGUUGCCACAAAGCGGAUGGGUGUCAGAAGAAUAGCAGAUUAGCUUCUGACGCAUGGUUCCCAGCAACCUGAUAACACUUGCUGUCUAGCCUCGCCAUGAACUAUCACUUGGGUGAGCUCCUAGAGUGCAGCAGGUGCUUCUCGAACUGUACCCCAGCAAGAGUCAGCACGUAAUGAAAAACACAAUCCCCAAUGUGCUCCAGUUCAAGUAUUAGUCAGUCAAAACAAAAUGGAAAAUAGAGAAAGAGGAGCCAUGUGCAAACUACAUUGUGCUCCCAUAUCAUUUCCUCUAUACUAAAGACUGUUCCUGUAGUUCUCAUAUAAGUUGCUGAUCUUAUACCUGUGUGGACCUAUAAAGGAACACAUCAGAUAAUUGCUAGCUUUUAGACUUUUAAAGCAUUAAAACUUGUACGUUUAUUUAUAACUUGCAUGCAUAUGCUAAUAUUAUCACUUGUGUUGCAUCCCUAGCUUGAGUUCUCAUUUUAACUUCCAGAAAUGAGGCAGUCAUUUUGGAGCCCAGUGGAAAAACAAUGGUCUUCAAAUCUUAUUGAUCUAGCUCGGCUGCCAUUUUGCCAUCCAAUAUCCAACAUAUAUGAUUUUCUUCCUAUAAAAUACAGGAAUCCCAAUGGAUAUCAGAGCACUGACUACCCCUCAAGCAGAUGCUGAUUUAAAAAUUUACACAUGCGUGCACACAAACACAAAGGGUAGAAUUUUACAGCCCUUACCACCGGCAGGAUUUUCCAGUUCUGCUGAAGUCAAUGGACUUUUGAACAGCUCGCUGCAUUUUACAGCCCUGCCCCGCACUGACAGGGCCAUAAAAUUCCGCCCAAAGUACAGGCUUGGCCACCAUAUUGAAAUGGUAUUGCUUCUCUGAAUGUGUACAGAAUGAUGGAGAACUCUUUCUAGACUUGAAUGCAAUCAAAGAAUGUUGAUGGAAGCUCAAACACUUUACAGACAUUUUCAGGGUUUCUCCAUUAUUACAAAUUUGUCUCUAAUACUUGUUAUUUGCAAUAAGAACAGAAAAUGCUGGAAAAGCUCAGUGGGUCAGGCAGCAUGUGUGGAAGAAGAGAAACAGAGUUGAUGUUUCAGGUCAAUGUCUGUUCAUCUGAACUGGGAAGGGUUAGAGAAGUAGCAGGUUUUAACUAAGUCCAAAGGCAGAGAAAAUGGGGGAGGGAGGAAAGAUCAAAAGGAAGGUCUGUGAUAGGGUGGGAGGCAGGAGUGAGUAAAUGACAAAAAGGUUGAUGGUGUCAGGAAAAAGCUGGUAAUGGAGCAAGUGGAGAAACAAAAAAUGGGUCUACAGGAGGUGCGAAUGUGAAAGUAGAAUCAUCACUAAUAUCUGAAAAAAAUGGGAGUGGUGGUUACGAUUUGUUGUUCAACUCAAUGUUGAGUCCAGAAGGCUAUAAAGUGCCUAUUCAAAAGAUGACAUGUUCCUCAAAUUUGCAUUGAGCUUCAUGGGAACACUGCAGUCAGGUAAGGAAAGAGAGUGGAGAAUGAAAAUUACAGGCAACUGGAAGCUUGAGGUCAUGCUUGUGGACUAAAUGGAGGUGUUCCACAAAGCAGUCACCCAAUCUCCGUUUAGUCUCCCCAAUGUAGGGACACUGCAGUGUGAGCAGCGAAAGAGUGUACAAAAUUGAAUGUAUGAGUAAAUUGCUGUUUCACCUGGUAGGAGGAGUGUUUGGAGACCUGGAUGGUGGAAAGGGAGGAGAUAAAAGGCUAGGUGUUGCAUCUCCUGCACUUUAGUGGGAAGGGGAGAGAGUGUUGGGAAUGGUUGAGGAAUGGGCUAGGCUGUCACAGAGGGAAUGGUCCCUUUGGAAUGCUGAAAGAGGAGGGAAAGAUAUGUUUGGUGGUGACAUCAAGCUGGAGAUGGGGGAGGACGAUCUGUUGAAUGUGGAGGCUGGUAGGAUGGAAAGUGAGGACAGGGGGAACCAUAUCGUGGUUCUGUGGGGGAAGGGGAAGGGAUGAGACCAGAAGUGCAAAAAAUGGCACAGAUGCGUUCGAGAGCCCAGUCAGCUAUGGUAUGGGGGGACGGAAUCCUCAGUUGAAGAAAAAAAUAAGUCAUAUCAAAAGCAUUGGUAUGGACUGUGGCAUCAUCAGAACAGAUGCAACAGAGAUGGAGAAACUGGGAGAAUGGAAUAGAGUCAGUGCAGGAAGUGGGUGGGAGGAGAUGUAGUCUACAUAACUGUGGGAGUUAGUUGGCUUAUAGUGUAUAUUGGUCGAUAGCCUAUCUCCUGAAAUGGAGACAGAGAAGUCGAGGAAGAGAAAAAGUCAGAGAUUGACCAUGUGAAGGUGAGGGAAGGGUUGAAAUUCGAAAUAAAUCUGAUGGAACUUUCCAGUUCAGGGUGAAAGCAGUUAAUGGUACCGAUACAGUCAUCAAUGUACUGGAAAAAGAAAUGAGGGAGGGGACCUUGUUAUUAACACUGCUUAACAUACAUUACAAAUAACUCUUGCUUUAUUGCCGACUUCAGUUGCUCUCAUUGUUUAAAAUACUGUACUCAGUUCACAGUUUAGCAGUCCAGACAGCAUGAUCCUAUUUUCACUUGCAUCAACUAAAAGAAGUUAAUUAAGAGAGGACAACCAAAUACACGUGAUUAGAAAGAAAGAACUUGCAUCUAUAUAGUACUGUUCAUGUCCUGUGCACAGAAAAGCCAAUUUGUACAUAGCAGGUUCCCAAAAACAGUAAAAGAUAAAUGAUGAGAUAAUCUGUUUUGGGUGCAGGAUAAAUGCUGAUUGGAAUUGUUUUUAUUAUUCAUUUACGGCGUGUGGGCUUUACUAGCUAGGCCAGCAUUUAUUGCCCAUCCCUAAUUGUCCUUGAGAAGGGUCAACUAUCCUGAUCUCUCUGAAUGGUGCUGAAGAAUCUUCUAUGUCCAUCUGAGAGAGCAGACAGGUCCUUGGUUUAACAUCACACCCAAAAGGUAGAACCUCCAAGACGGCCGCACUCCCUCAAUAGUGCAAUAAACUUUCAGCUUAGAUUAUGUGUUCAAACCCUAGAGUGUGCCUUGUCAGAGCUAAGAGUACUACCACUGAACCAAGGCUGACAGCUCAUUGGGUGACCUCAGCCAGAGUAGCAGUGGUAUAAUUGACUUCAGCGACCAUGAGUUAAGGAGAGAAAUAUCAUUCAGGCUCCCCACUCCUGGCCACUAUCCAGCAGUCCCUGGAUAAAACUGUAAUGCCCCAUGCAAUCAAAUAAUUUGUGACAUUCAUUGCCCAGAUUCACAUGUAAAUACCAGUCACCUGAGCACUGUACGAGAGGGUGACAGGUAGCAUUAGAACCAUACCUGAGCGAGAAGCCAGCAACUUUGUGGUGGAGGAGGGGAAGAUAAAAUUUCAAAUUGUUGAUUUAUUUUUCAAAUCAGCUGGAAUUUUUCACACAUUAACAGCGAUAUCACAAAAACUAAUGAUGCAUAUUACAACAUGUACAGUCACUGUCUUUCCCACAGUUAAUAGAUUAAUUGGCAUGUCACUAACAAUUCUUUAGAUUAGAAAAGAGUAUUUGAGUGAAAUCACGCAGCUAGAACGGUUGCUGCACACAACCAGCAGAACUACCAAAAUGUUAAGAGUGGUAAUCUUGGUAAGCCUGGCUUCGCAUGGUGAGUAGAAACAUUUGUAUCUUACAGUAUAACUGGAUGUUGAGCAGGCAUUGAUUUGGUCAAUAUGGAUCCAAUCUGGUCAGUGUGAUCUGGACUCCUCUGUCUCAUUUUACAUGAACUUCAAAAUCCCCUGUAUGUUCACACAGAUCUACAAUAGAGGAUUCUCCACAUAAGAGCCUAUCUUUUGAAGUAACUCCAAGAGAAAGUAUGUCUACUGUGUGGAUCACUUCCCUGCUAUACAAGGAUACAGAUGGUCCCAGCCACACCAGAGGGUUGUAGUUUUACUCAUUCUCUGAUAGAAGAAACUUUUGGGGGACAGUGAUCUAAAGUGCUCCUCCCGAGACAUAAGCAUGUAAUGUAGGCUGACACUUCAGUGCAAUACUGAGAGAAUGCUGCAUGUUGAAGUUGCCCAUCUUUCAGUUAAACUGAAGACCACUCUGACCUCUCAGGCGGAUAUUAAAGAUCCAAUGGCACUAUUGUUAACUGAGCAAUGAGGUCUUCUGGAGUUCUGGCCAACAUUUAUUCCUCAACCGACAUCAUUAAAACAUUGAAGAUCUAAUCUUUUAUCUUACAGCCGUUUGUAUGACUUAUUGUGCGCAUAUUGGCUGCCAUGUUUGCCUACAAAACAACAGUGACUAUACUUCAAAAGUACUUUAUUAGCUGUGAAGUGCUUUAUAUCCUUUCUCCUUCAUGAGUACUUGCUGUAUCUAUCCUUAUCAAAAAUCCAAUGGAAUUUUGAUUAACUUCACACAGUAUUUAUAACAUCUUUUUAGGGCUUUGUAGGCCUUACUUAUUGUUUUCUUUCUUCAGAGAGAAUCUGUCCAUAGAAAUAGUUUAAAUUCGCAACAACAAAAGCUUUACAACUGAUGACCAGGUGGCGUUUGCUGCAUAAAAUAAGUGAGGGGGGGUUCCACAGACCUUCAAUGUGCAGUGCCAUGGAAUGGUAUAAGAUGGGCUGUCCAACUCAAGAGUUGCCUAAGGACAUGCACAAUGUCCUUGUGAUAUUGUGUUAAACUGAGGGAAGCUGUUUCCCCAUUAGGUGGAAAGAUCAAGGACUGGUUACAUUAAUGCACCUCUAAGUAAGUAGAUCUGACAAAAACCUGGAAGUAGACUGUCAAUCAAUCCACUCAUCCACAGCUGAUGCAUGGUUCAAGGAAACCAGUAAAGAAUAGAAAGCAGCAAAAAUAUUCUGGAAAAUGAUUGAGCACUGUGCAUAGCCAAAAAAUCACCCAAGAAAACAGAAAAUGAACACUUUCUGAUGAACAGUUAUGAAGAAUAACAGAACAGUAAUCACCGGAAUGCUUUCCUCACUUUCCCUAAUCCUGGCCAGGUUUGAUAUACCGUUGGCGCUGGGUGACCACAACAUUUAUGUGACGGAAGGUCCUGAACGGUACAUAUCAGUUGAUAAAGUUGUGCUGAAUAAGCAGUGAUGCGCAGACCUUUCCAUUGGGCAUGACAUCGCAAUGGUUCGUCUUGUUCAAAAAGCAGUUCUCAAUGACAAAAUUCAGCUUGGAUUACUGCCACCAAAGGGAGAGAUUCUGCCAAAUGACUACCUGUGCUAUGCCACUGGGUGGGGUUACACUUUUAAUAUGUGUUUUUGGUUCUAUGCUUGAAAAUUCUUCUCAUAGUAUUAUAGAAAUUAUAAUUAUAAGAAGACCAUUUGACCAAUCAUAUCUGUAUUGGAGAUUGGCUCUUCAACUUAAGCUAGUCAUGUUAGUUAGGUGAAACAUGAGCUUCAUAAUGAAAAGCCCCAAUGUUCAAUUGAAGAACAGCAAGCAAUGCAAUAUUUUGUCUGAAAAUAAUUUCCACCUGGGAAUUGGGAAGAAGCAAGAGGCAGACAAAGCAGACAGAGACUCAUUUUUAAGAGGCUUCAUGUUGAACCAAUGCUGAGCGCAAGAUCAAAACAAAUCAUUCUUAGGAUAGUUGCUGCGCUAAUUUCAUAUGUUCUCCUUUCAUCACUACGGCCUUGUGUGAUGAAAGUAUAAUAAUUUUCAGAAUAUUUUUCUGGAUUAUUGUGAAGUAGGUUUAUUGGGGUAAGUAUAGUUGGGUCUGUAUGUGAUUUAAUUAUAGUUUGUAGUCAAGUAGACUGCAAGCUUUAAAUCAUCAAAAGAAGCUAGGUGCUUCACAUACUAAUGAGUAAACAUGGAAGCUGGCUUAGCAUGUAUGGUGUGAAGGGAAUUCGCAUUUUUAAAUAAAUUAAGAGACUUGGAUUUCAAAGGGAUCUUACUCUGUUUACAACUAGCCAGAUAAGCAAGGCUAAGGAAUGUGUGUAUUUUUCCCAAAGGUUGCUGAAAAUAUAUAUUGGUAACAUGAAAGUUUUAUAUUACAGGGAAGAUACAGUUUCAAAGACAUAUGGAACAAUGUUGGUGCAGACUCGAUGGGCCGAAGGGUCUCUUCUGCACUGUGUGAUUCUGUGAUUGCAUAGAAUUUAUAUAUUAAAAAAGAGAAACAUAUAUAAAGGAGAAUGAAAGGCUAGGUGUCAGAAGGCCAUGUAAGAUCGAACAAGAGUGUGUGAAAUAGUCUUAACGAAGCCGCCAGCAUUUGUGCAUAAGUCUGCUAUAUAACAAAACUGAAGCUGGGGAAAAUCCUUUUGGAAUUCCACUGUCCAGGGUAUUGUUUUAACUUGCUGAGUUAAAUCUAAAAUCUAUUUUGGACCAUUGCCUUAAAGAGAGUGUAACUGGAGGUCAGGUUAAUUAGGAAUUUUAGCAGUUAAUAUCAUAGUAAGUAAUUUGUAGUCUUGUGUAUGUGCUUAAAAUUUUUUACAUUUUGUUAAUAAAUAUCUUAAUUUAAUUU